CCCCUUGUAGUUCAAUGGAUAGAACGAGUGCCUCCUAAGUGCUAAAUACAGGUUCGAUUCCUGUCGAGGGGACCA
This 75-nucleotide transfer RNA is filed under the name Burkholderiales bacterium. Its description in RNAcentral is "tRNA-Arg". It matches the Rfam family "tRNA". From Rfam's summary of the family: Transfer RNA (tRNA) molecules are approximately 80 nucleotides in length. Their secondary structure includes four short double-helical elements and three loops (D, anti-codon, and T loops). RNAcentral also lists the same sequence under 11 other names. Lineage: Bacteria; Pseudomonadati; Pseudomonadota; Betaproteobacteria; Burkholderiales. The record is from RNAcentral.